UGAGGAAUAUUGCGCAAUGGGCGAAAGCCUGACGCAGCGACGCCGCGUGGGGGAAGAAGGUUCUCGGAUUGUAAACCCCUUUUAGGAGGAAAGAUGGGGUGGGUAACCACCUUGACGGUACCUCCAGAAAAAGCCACGGCUAACUUCGUGCCAGCAGCCGCGGUAAUACGAAGGUGGCGAGCGUUGUUCGGAUUUACUGGGCGUAAAGAGCACGUAGGCGGUUUAGUAAGCCCCUUGUGAAAGCUCCGGGCUUAACCCGGAAAGGUCGGGGGGUACUGCUAAGCUAGAGGGCGGGAGAGGAGCGCGGAAUUCCCGGUGUAGCGGUGAAAUGCGUAGAUAUCGGGAGGAAGGCCGGUGGCGAAGGCGGCGCUCUGGAACGCAUCUGACGCUGAGGUGCGAAAGCGUGGGGAGCAAACAGG
RNAcentral lists this ribosomal RNA (419 nucleotides) under uncultured bacterium. RNAcentral describes it as "bacterial SSU rRNA". It matches the Rfam family "Bacterial small subunit ribosomal RNA", at positions 355 to 776 of the family's 1533-position model. The record is from RNAcentral.